Molecule: ribosomal RNA, 206 nt
Filed under: uncultured bacterium
Lineage: Bacteria
Description: partial 16S ribosomal RNA
Rfam family: Bacterial small subunit ribosomal RNA
Source: RNAcentral
ACGCUCGACACCUACUGGAGGCAGCAGUGGGGAAUAUUGCACAAUGGGGGAAACCCUGAUGCAGCGACGCCGCGUGGAGGAAGAAGGUCUUCGGAUUGUAAACUCCUGUUGUUGGGGAAAAAGAGGAUGGUACCCAACAAGGAAGUGACGGCUAACUACGUGCCUAGCAGCCGGACGGUAAUCUGGAGGCGGGGCUGGACGAAGGC